Molecule: long non-coding RNA, 1267 nt
Filed under: Homo sapiens (human)
Lineage: Eukaryota; Metazoa; Chordata; Mammalia; Primates; Hominidae
Description: HSALNT0290065
Source: RNAcentral
AUUCCACUGCCGUCUCCAUCAUCAUCACCACCGUCACCAUUAUCACCAUCAUAACCAUCACUUAUCACCAUCACCAUUCACCACUUACCAUCACCAUCACCAUUCACCAUUUACCACCACCAUCACCAUCACCAUCAUCACCGUCAUCACCACCAUAACCAUCACUGUCAUCACCAUAAUCAUCACUUAUCACCAUCAUCAUUCACCACUUACCACCACUAUCAUCACCAACACCAUCAUCAUCACCACUACCAUCAUCACCAUCACCAUCCCCAUUCACUACUUACCACCACCAUCAUCACCAUCACCAUCACCAUUCACCACUUACCACCACCGUCAUCACCAUCACCAUCACCAUUCACCACUUACCACCACUAUCAUCACCAUCACCAUCAUCAUCACCACUACCAUCAUCACCAUCAUCAUCACCAUCAUCAUUCACCACUUACCACCACCAUCAUCACCAUCACCAUCAUCAUUCACCACUUACUACCACUAUCAUCACCAUCACCAUCACCAUUCACCACUUACCACUACCAUCAUCACCAUUCACCACUUACCACCACCAUCGUCACCAUCACCAUCAUCAUCACCAUCACUAUCACCAUCACCAUUCACCACUUACCACCACCAUCAUCACCAUCACCAUCAUCAUCACCAUCACUAUCACCAUCACCAUUCACCACUUACCACCACCAUCACCAUCACCAUCAUCACAGUCAUCACCAUCAUAAUCAUCACUAUCACCAUCACCAUUCACCACUUACCACCACCAUCACCAUCACCAUCAUCACUGUCAUCACUACCAUAACCAUCACUGUCAUCACCAUAAUCAUCACUGUCACCAUCACCAUUCACCACUUAAACCACCACCAUCAUCACCAACACUACCACCACUACCACCUCACUUAAUUUAUGUAUCACUUCUUAUGUACCAGACCUUUGGAGAAAUCCCUUAAAUUGGUCAUCUCCUUUAAUCUCAGGGGGCAGAUAUUCUGCCUGUUUUACAGAUGAGAAAACAGAAGUCUCGGUAAGUAACAGAACUAGGACUUGAAGCCAGGACUUGGAGUCCACUCUCAUAGCCAUACCUUUUUAUUUAGGGGCUUUAAAUAUAUACAGUACUGUUAAGAUUUUAUAGGAUAAAAGGAUGAAAGGAGACGUCAACUCUGUACUUUUGUCAAGAGAAAUGUUUGAGGAUGCAAUAAUUUUGAGUUUGAAGACUGGCCCAUGGGGAUUUCCUUUCCCAUGUGGCUGGCAAAUGGGGAGA